GGUGACUAUAGCAUCAGGGUUCCACCUCUUCCCAUUCCGAACAGAGAAGUUAAGCCUGAUCACGCCGAUGGUACUGCGUAAUAGUGGGAGAGUAGGUCGUCGCCGUUU
This 108-nucleotide ribosomal RNA is filed under the name Bacteroides fragilis str. 3774 T13. The record is from RNAcentral. Lineage: Bacteria; Pseudomonadati; Bacteroidota; Bacteroidia; Bacteroidales; Bacteroidaceae.